Molecule: unclassified non-coding RNA, 451 nt
Filed under: Bombus terrestris (buff-tailed bumblebee)
Lineage: Eukaryota; Metazoa; Arthropoda; Insecta; Hymenoptera; Apidae
Description: misc RNA ENSBTSG00005032401.1
Source: RNAcentral
GACGCAACGACGAUUAAUGAUGGAUCCGACGAGUCUUCAUGGAAAUUUGAGGUGGCACGCAAAUAGGCUCAAGUACUUCAAAGCAUUAUAAACGUCAGUAGAAUUUAAAAUAUGAAUUAAAAUUCAUUUUGUUCCGUACAAGAAUGUGUGAAAUUUUAUGUGCAAGAAGAAACUCCAGAAAUUCUUAAAUAUGUAUGCCAAAGGCUCAAAAGAAUGAGAGAAAUAUAGGAGGUGAACAAAAGAAAGAAGCUAAAUAUUAGGAAAUAAUAUUUGGCCUUUAUCAAUCAGGAAAUGGUCGAGUAAUCUUAAACCCGAUUACCCUGCUCAAAGAGCCCGUAGUAUACACAAUGCAUAAAAAGCAGUUUCCAGCUAGUAUCAGAGUUUAAUCGACUGGAUGCGGCCCAUUAUCAGCGACUGUUGCCUAUCGAAAGCACUAUCCCGAUAAGCUGCC